UGGGGAAUUUUCCACAAUGGGCGAAAGCCUGAUGGAGCAAUACCGCGUGAGGGAAGAAGGAUCGUGGUUCGUAAACCUCUUUUCUUAAGGAAGAAACAAUGACGGUACUUAAGGAAUAAGCACCGGCUAACUCUGUG
This 137-nucleotide ribosomal RNA is filed under the name uncultured bacterium. RNAcentral describes it as "partial 16S ribosomal RNA". It matches the Rfam family "Bacterial small subunit ribosomal RNA", at positions 355 to 507 of the family's 1533-position model. The record is from RNAcentral.